This is a small nucleolar RNA of Peromyscus eremicus (cactus mouse), 126 nucleotides long. RefSeq annotates it as small nucleolar RNA SNORA40. The transcript has a single exon. Lineage: Eukaryota; Metazoa; Chordata; Mammalia; Rodentia; Cricetidae. The record is from RefSeq and is a predicted model, not a curated record.
UGUGUGUGGGUGUGUGUGUGUGUAACUGGUAGACAGACAUAAAAAACAAGUGUAAAAAUAAAUCCUCUUUUGCAACCCCAGACUUAGUGUUCAGUAUGCCUUUUGCUACAUAUACAAAUGAAUAUG